RNAcentral lists this RNase P RNA (452 nucleotides) under Halorientalis regularis. Its description in RNAcentral is "Archaeal RNase P". It matches the Rfam family "Archaeal RNase P". Rfam says of the family: Ribonuclease P (RNase P) is a ubiquitous endoribonuclease, found in archaea, bacteria and eukarya as well as chloroplasts and mitochondria. Its best characterised activity is the generation of mature 5'-ends of tRNAs by cleaving the 5'-leader elements of precursor-tRNAs. Lineage: Archaea; Methanobacteriati; Methanobacteriota; Halobacteria; Halobacteriales; Haloarculaceae. The record is from RNAcentral.
GGCAGAGGGAGUCCGGCCACCGUGCCCCGGACCGCAACCGCGCAAGGGGCAUGAGGAAAGUCCCCCCACCGUCCGGGCAGGUGACCGGGCGCAAGCCCGGAGCGGGAGACCGCUGGCUCUGGAACAGAAACGACACCACUCCGCGCGAGCGAUGAGGCGUGCGAACCCCGACCGUAAGAGAGGGGGAGUUGACCCGCCGAGCGUUGGGAGGUCUUCGACCUCCUGAAAGGCGAACGGCGCAGCCGUGAGCCAGACGGCGAGCGGGCCUCGCCCGCUCGCUCGUUCGUGGCGACUUCGUCGCCACCGGACCGCGGAGAACGGAUGGAACGGCGAACCCUCUCCGGUGCAAGCCCGCGUCGUCAGGUAGCCCGGACACCGCCGGAUUCGGCGACCUGGCGCGGGCGCGUAGCCGAAUGCCGGAUCGAACAGAAGGGGGCUUACUCCCCUCAGCC